AAUGCAAUUGCUGGGUUACAUGGUAAGACUAUGUUUAGUUUUAUAAAAAAUUGACAAACUAUCUUCCAAGAGAUUGUACUAGUGUGAAUUCCCACUGGCAAU
Molecule: microRNA precursor, 102 nt
Filed under: Marmota monax (woodchuck)
Lineage: Eukaryota; Metazoa; Chordata; Mammalia; Rodentia; Sciuridae
Source: RNAcentral